RNAcentral lists this long non-coding RNA (329 nucleotides) under Struthio camelus australis. RNAcentral describes it as "lncRNA (ENSSCUG00000002012.1)". Lineage: Eukaryota; Metazoa; Chordata; Aves; Struthioniformes; Struthionidae. The record is from RNAcentral.
GCAGUGCUAAUGCUCUUCGCUGCGUUUCCAGCUGUUAUUCCACAUUGUUCUCUUUGCUGACAAUGUCCUUUCACUAAAGACAGCUAUUUUUUUUCCUGGAACAAAACUAAAACAAUCGAGAAAAUGGGCCUGAAACCCCAGAGCGACUCUGUACAUACCUUCAGAGGAGAAAUUUAACCUGGCUUGAACUUAUGCAGACGCAGCCCUGCGAGUUCCUGCUCAGGCAGAAGGCUUAUUGAAAGGCAUUUUGCCUGCAUAACAGCAGCAUCAAAGGUAUCCGACUAUGGGUAAGUCUGGUUUUAUGGAUCUGCCUUUCUUUUCUCUUUAAA